Molecule: transfer RNA, 86 nt
Filed under: uncultured Akkermansia sp.
Lineage: Bacteria; Pseudomonadati; Verrucomicrobiota; Verrucomicrobiia; Verrucomicrobiales; Akkermansiaceae
Rfam family: tRNA
About the family: Transfer RNA (tRNA) molecules are approximately 80 nucleotides in length. Their secondary structure includes four short double-helical elements and three loops (D, anti-codon, and T loops). Further hydrogen bonds mediate the characteristic L-shaped molecular structure. tRNAs have two regions of fundamental functional importance: the anti-codon, which is responsible for specific mRNA codon recognition, and the 3' end, to which the tRNAs corresponding amino acid is attached (by aminoacyl-tRNA synthetases). tRNAs cope with the degeneracy of the genetic code in two manners: having more than one tRNA (with a specific anti-codon) for a particular amino acid; and 'wobble' base-pairing, i.e. permitting non-standard base-pairing at the 3rd anti-codon position.
Source: RNAcentral
GGGAGAUGGCUGAGCUGGUCGAAGGCACUCGACUCGAAAUCGAACGUGGUAGUGAUAUCACCGUGGGUUCGAAUCCCACUCUCUCC